GUUCCAUGCUGAGGCAGUAGUUUCCUGAACGUAAAGCUUAACAUUGUGCUGGUAGAAACCCUCUUGCCAUGCUUCUCUUUUGGCUGGCCUUAGUGUUUGGACACACCAGAGACCUAGUCUGGAUGGAAAUAAGUAUCUUUUUGGCUGGGUGAGUUCUGGCCUGGAUUAGUUUCCUGACCAGUAGCUGUAGUCUUGAAAGUGCUUAUGCUAACAUGAGGAGUAGUUGGGCUGAUGGAGGGAGUGGUUUAAAGGCAGGGAUGAUUUCUUUGCAGAGUUGGUAUUUUUGGAAAUGAGGCCUUACUCCUUCCCGGUAGAAAGGGGUUUUUUCUUCCGAAGUCGAGUGCCUUUGUGGAAUUUUGGGGGGUUUUUUGCUUCAUCUGCUUUGAAGGUUGAUUGUAGCACUUUUAGGGGUUGGUGUAUGAGAAUACUUGGAAUAUGAGUCCAAAUGAAUUAGGGGUAUGUGUAAAACAAUGAAACUUCUUAAAAUUUCAGCAUGAGGGUCACUUUAAAGUACUCACCUGGGUUUGAUUCUGUUUAUGUCUGCUCCAGCACUUACUAAUUCAGACUAACUUUUCUGUGAUUCAAAAGCAAGGAUGUCUUAAUUUAGGCUCUGGGAGUUUGUCUUGUCCACCACCCUUCUGCCAUAGGUGCUUUCAAAACUCUCCUGGAAUUUCCUGUCCCUGCUGUAGCAACAGUAAACUGCAUCUCUGUGUUUGACAGCCUGACAUUAAGUUAACUAGCACUGGCUUUAGUUUUCCUUCUGUGCAUCAGGGUGUGAUUUGUGAGGUGACUAAUAGUUAGUGCAUGGGUAGCUAUUGUCUGUGGGGUAGGACCCGAGUUACCAUUCCAGGGAUAAGCACUUCCUGCUCCUCCAAUUUGAAGCCUGAAUUCCCUUGUCCUGGUAGAGUAUCACUACUUAAUGAGUACUCUUGCAAAGAUAAAAGAAAUAGCUGUUCCCCAAAAGUCUAUUCUUGGAUACUUGUUAAUCUAGAUGAAGCCUUAGAGGAAAACAAAACCCAAAUACUUAUUAUGAAGUCUCUAGAAUGCCAUGAAACUUGUUGCACAGGUCUUUUUUCAGUUGUGGGAGUGGCUGGUGUUGCCAUUUUGAUAUCAUGCAACACUACAUCAGAUGGGCAAAGAAUCCUGUUGUGCUCAGACUUAUUUUGAAGAAACAUCAUCUUUUGCUGUUAGCAGUUUGCCAGUAGCCUAAAUGAAAGCCUAAAUUAAUGUGUGAUGGGAGAAAUGACCACAAAUACUUGUUGAUAAAACUUAAGAAUCUUUUCCAGUAUCUACCCAUGGUAUAACACUUCACUUUUUGGGGCAACGGAUUUUACAGGCUGUUUAACCUGAAAUAAUUUUUGAUUCUUAGUUUAAUACUUUUGGGUAUUCUGGUGGUCUUUCACGAGCUCCUUCAUCACUUCUACAUUAUGAAGACCUGUAAAAGGGAGGGACUGAUUAGUUUUAUGAUCUAACAUCAGCUGAAAAGAAAUUCCUCAGUGACUGCUUCUCUUAAAGUGUAAAUCUUUCUGUAUUCUACACCUGCUUAGAUUGCAUGUUUGUCCUUCUGAAAAGGACUGUUAGGUUAGCAAAACAUGAUGACUUCCUUACUAAAUUAAAAAGGGAGACUUCCUUUAAAAAAUAGUUGAUGAGAAUAUAUUUCAUUCAUAUUUCCCAGAUUUCAGUAGAGACUUCUCUGAAUGAAUAAAGACCUAGUGUCAUCUAGUGAGAGGCACUAGCAGUUAUUGAGCUAUUGGAAGAAAUAGUGAAAAAUUAAAAUCUGAAAGAAUGUUAGAUAGAAGGAGAAAUUAAGGAAGAAUGAACAGAUUUUAAGAAUAUUAACUAAUUUUGUCCCUAUUACCUUCGCAGUAGACCUUUAGUUCUCCAGAUCUAAAGGAAAAGCAAGGAAAAAACUAUUCUUCCAGAAAUAAGGCUGAAAUGCUUUCACCAAUCUGCUUUCUUCAUCAAGGCUUUCCUUGUCAGGUUACAGGAUAUCCCUAGUGACUUGAAUAUGUGGGAUUUGUUGUCAGUAGCUGCAGUGAUUUUUUUUUUUUUUAUCUUUUGUUCCACAAUGCAGGUUUCAAGCAGUUGACAUUAUUGUAUCUGCUUUUCUCUCCAUUGUAGACUGCAGCUUAUUACAGCAGAAUUAGCAGUAUUAGUUCUGGAAGAGCCAUGAUCUGGGGCUUUCUGCCACUGUCAGGUGCAAGGAUUAAGAGGGAGCUUGUUCAGCAAAAAGCCGAGGAAAGAUGUGGAAUUGAGUUUCCUCUGCUUGGCUGGGGGCCCCGGUUAUAUACUUUGUUUCCAUGUCUCACAUGAACUCCCUGAGUUCUUGAUCCAAAGUGAAAGGUCGGCUUUAUUCUGAGUAAUUGCAGAUCCCAGGUGUGUGCUCCUUGCUGACUGAAAAAUAGGAGUCAGUGCUGAAUGAAGCUUCUCAUUGCUUUGCAUCAUUUCAUGAGACAUGAUGAAAUUGGAAAGAACUCUGCUAGGAUCCCUAGGCAGGAGCAACAACCAGGAAGAUUGCUCCUGUAGGUUACAGGAGGAGCAGGGGAAAAAGAAAAGGGGAGGUAGAGAAAUGUCACAAGAUGCAUUUUAAUUCUAACACUGCACCAAGCUGGGUGGAGAAUGUUCUGUAGCCAGGGACAGGCUUGGCUGUGUCCUUGGGAGUUUGUAGGGGUCGAAGGUAAAGAUCACCUUUGAUAACAUCUGGGCCAAAGUAUGCUGCCUUCACAUGAGUGUAAGUAAAAGGUAACUUGGGUUCACAGGCAACAACUCAUUGAAUAAAAUAGGGAGGGGAGUAUGAUCACAGAUGAAUAUUAUGGAAUUCAAACAGUUGGCUUGCCCACAAACUCGUUGUAACCCAGAUGGUUGCAGUAUGCUUGAGAGAAAGUAAUUUCACUGUAGCGUGUCCUGCAUGGGAUGGUGCAGAGUGGAGUGACACGGCUCAGUGUAGCCAUCUAGCUCACGGAAUACUGAUGCUGUCGUUUGCUGUCAGCUUUAAGCUGGUACUGCAGCUUAAGGUGGCCCUGCUGCUCCCUUUCCUCUAUCCGAGCAUUUGUGUGAGGAAUUGGGUCAGGAACUGAAAGUGUUCUAACAGAAUUGUUUUUCUCUGCAUUAGUUUUCAGCUGGAAUUAGUUCUCGAUCAAGGUCAUUAUGGUGAAUUAUUCUGUCAGUGUGUAGGAAGGAAGAAGCUGAGAGCAGCUCUUUGGACAAUGAGUGCUGUGUUUACCUGUCUUACAGGGACCAUGAAAGUAUUACACAAGUUAAAAUCUGGUCUCCUGUCUUGUUUGUGAGGAAAAACUGGGUUCCUCUAGAUGUCAGUUUAGAUCCACUUAAAAGCUUUGAAUCACUCCCUGGAAGAAUGUGUUCUUGUCCUAUUUAGACCAACCUCCCAGCACAGACACCUUGGUUAGGUAAUCACCACCAACACUCUCUGUCUUCUCUGAUCCCUUCACAGGGUCAGUGCUCAAGGGAACCAUCCUUCUACAACUCUCUAUUUUCCAGUUGUAGCUGUCAUUCCCAUAGUUGAUUUAUGUAUUUCUUGGGGCUUAAUCUUGACAGGCCCCUUUUCAUGCAGAGAAAAAGCAUAAACAUUUAUUAACCUGUGAUGAAGUUUGCUUUUCUCUUCUAGGUUUCUUGCUUUUCUUUAUGCCCUCCAAGAUGCUGAAAUACUUCAGAAUAAUUAAUACUAGGUUAACGAGACUGCCCUUUUUUUCAUUUAAAGCUGCAAUAGAUGUCUGUCCAUUUUACUCUUCUUGUUUGUUUUCGGUACCAGUGUUGUAAGUGGCAAGGAGGAAAUGAGAAAACAGCUGGAGAUGGGCGUUGGAGUCAUAACCAGUGGAUAUGGAAUUGAUGGCAGUAGCCAAAUGAAAGCCUUGAGUUUUUACUGUGAGAAAAUUACUUAGUAAAAGAAACUUAGCUCAGUGUUUUAGUUUCUCCUAAACUGGUAGUAGAUCUUUCAUGUUUUGCAUAUGAAAGGCACAGCUGGCCUGUUUGGAUGGAUGUCUGUCUGUCUGCUUUAGAAUAAGUUACAUGUUAAUCUCUUAUCAUGGUAGUUCUGCUAGAGGAAGUGGAAGGGCUGCCUACCUGUUAAACUGCCUUAUUUUUGGCUGUGCUUAGCUGGGUGAUUUUUCAGAGAAAAGAUACAGCUGUUUCAUGGCAGGAAGAGAAUGGCCAAGCACUCCUGCAGUUACUCUGCAUCUGCUCAUGCCCUUAAAUACUUACACAGACAUGCAUGGACUGCAGGUAGGGGAGAAAAAAGUGUUGUCUGUAAAUCCUGUUGGGUAUAUUUUAUUUUUUUUUAAUCUUCCUCUUGCUUUAAGUUGCAUAUACCAUGCAUAACUGCAUACUCUUAGUUGAAGUCUUUGUUUAUUCCUCUAUUCAGCUUUCAAAGGUUCACAGGAAAUGCAGAAGAAACAUAAGUCUCCAAUGUUUUAACAUAAGGCUUUAUUUCCACUCCCACGUAAUUUUUAAUAAAUGGCUAAUCUAUAAGUGUCAAAGCCAUGUCAGUUUUUGAGUGGGAUCUGUAUGUGGAUUGACUUGAAUUCAAGGCCUGCAUAUGUUCCAAGGUGAUAGGGUUGUUUGCACUAAUGUAGCUGCUGAUACUUUUCAUUAUUUUAUGAAUGUCAAAAAUUUACUGACAGCAUUUGGCUUCAUUGUUUCUAUUGAAGUUUGGUUUUUUCCCUCAAGUUAAGUGCAUAUUACAGCACUAAAUGUACUACUUUUCAAUGGUGUUAGUGUCCCAACAGUUUUUAUUGAGACUGUGCCUUGUUUGGCAAAAAUAAAUAUUUUUGUAUUAUUUGGUACAUGAAACUUGAUGCAGUUCAGGGUUCAUUACUUUUAAAAUGGCUGAGAGGCAGACACAAAUGCCUCUUUGAUAGUAGCUUUAUUGUAAAUAACACCACUAAAAAAACAGGCACUGGCACUAAGCAUCCCUGUCUCUGGGUUUGUACUUUCUGCAUUGACAACUACAGCAAGUUGUUUUUAAUGCUUCUGCAAUUCCCUUCAAGUACCUAAAGGGGCUUCAAGAGAGCUGGAGAGGGACUUUGGACAAGGGCAUGGAGUGGCAGGACAAGGGGGAAUGGCUUCCCACUACCACAGUGCAGCAUUAGAUUGGACACUGGGAAGAAAGUGAGUAUAUCUGGGCUGAGACUCUCCUGUGCUGCAAUCAGUAGGACAAUUGGCACUAAAUGACUUUCUCUCAAGCAACCUUUUGAUUCCUCUCAUUGGAAUGAGGUAUCAGUUGUAUGAAAUCCACAGCACUUCUUAUUUCUGUUUGUUCCAGCUUUUUAGAUGGGCUGUCCAUCAGUUGUCUGAGCAAGCUUAGGUCUGUUGUUUGGACGUCACAGCUCCUUACCUGGCUAAUUGGAUUGUGCCAGUGCACUGAGCUGUUCCAUGACACAGUGUCUCUUGGUAGAGCCUGUUGAGUGAGCCUGUGUGGAAGGGUAUUAGUGGGAAUUGUGUUUUCAGAUCUUCUUUGGUCUUUUUUUGUCAUUCUCCUUAUUGUGGUAGCUCUUCUCUUUUGCUUUUUUUUUUUCCCCCCCAGUGUUUAUUUACUGCAUCUUUUAACCUGCUGCUUUGUUUUCCUUUUUAGAUUCAGUCAUUGAGCUGUUGGUGUAUGGUAGCAGUAACUGGUAGGAAGAGAGCUGGAGACAAAAGCCAGAAAUAAAAGGUUGAGAGAAACUCUGCAGUUUUUAUUCCUAGUGUUCUGCUAUAAUGGUCUUAGUUGUAGCAAAUGGCAUAUGUCUUCCAAUAAAUACAAAACUUUCACUUUGUGAAAAAGGAGAAUUAGGAUAAAGGAAAAAAAAUAAGUAAAAAUAGCAAAUUGUUCAAGACAGAGUGAUUGAGAAGUGACAUGGACAGACAGUGCAAAGCUCUCUGCAGCAGAGAUGGAGUCUUUCCAGAGAGCUUAUUUAAUAGAAAGCACCCAUACGUUUUCUUCUCAAAUUUAGGGUCCAUCCUGUGUCCCUGCCCUGCCGUUGGAGAAGUUUGAAAUUUGUAAAUCCACACUUUUCAGAAGAAAUCUUAUCAGUUUCCCAAUAUUUUUGAGCUGUCCAAGAUAUCAAGUGAGAUGACUCCUGUAUAUUUCUGUAAUUUUUAUAUGUUGUUAAUAUAACAUUUAGAAUAUUGUAACAUUUCCCCUGUGGCAAGAGUUUGGUUUAAAAACAGACAUUUUCAGAUCCUUUUACUUUGACUGAAAGGAACAGACUACAGUGGAUACCUUGAAAUAGGCAGGAGUAAAUGCUGAUCCCUGAGUGUUGGAGGCCAGGGAGUCUGGGUCAGGAUGCAGUGGCGGGCAGGGACAGAGAGUUGACAUGGAGCUGGCAGGGGUCAGGAUACAGUGGCGGGCAGGGACACUGUAAGUGGCGGGCAGGGAUGGAGGUGACACGGAGGUGGCAGGGUCGGUGUGCAGUGGUGGGCAGGGAUGGAGGUGACACGGAGGUGGCAGGGUUGGGGUGCAGUGGCGGGCAGGGAUGGAGGUGACAUGGAGGUGGCAGGGUUGGGGUGCAGUGGUGGGCAGGAAUGGAGGUGACACGGAGGUGGCAGGGUCGGUGUGCAGUGGUGGGCAGGGAUGGAGGUGACACGGAGGUGGCAGGGUUGGGGUGCAGUGGCGGGCA
Corvus hawaiiensis (hawaiian crow) is the source of this 6611-nucleotide long non-coding RNA. RefSeq lists it as uncharacterized. NCBI's taxonomy places the organism in Eukaryota, Metazoa, Chordata, Aves, Passeriformes, Corvidae. The transcript is spliced from 3 exons. The record is from RefSeq and is a predicted model, not a curated record.